Ficedula albicollis (Collared flycatcher) is the source of this 344-nucleotide long non-coding RNA. RefSeq lists it as uncharacterized. Lineage: Eukaryota; Metazoa; Chordata; Aves; Passeriformes; Muscicapidae. The record is from RefSeq and is a predicted model, not a curated record. The transcript is spliced from 3 exons.
CUUGCUUGUGCAGAAAAAAACUCCUUUUAAGUAAAACCUAUAUGAGUCAGGAUAGUGUGUCUUGUAAAACUCACAAACCCUGACUUAAACCAGAAACCAGAGAUUUUUUCAAUUAUGCAUGCUAAAUGUCUUUGCAGAUUUGCCAUUACUUUCAAACUUGGAGAAAGAUGGCUGCAUCUUCGUGCUUUUCCUGAGAGUGAAUUAUUAAGAUGUUUUGUUGGGUAUUUUCUAGUGGCAAUUACUGUCAUAGGUUCAGGGUGGAUCAGGGUUGUUGAGAAAGCUGUGUGAAAUCUUCCAAAGAAGAAAGCAGUUUCUAUCCAAGCAGGAAUAUCCAACUUAAAAAU